Molecule: long non-coding RNA, 3741 nt
Filed under: Canis lupus familiaris (dog)
Lineage: Eukaryota; Metazoa; Chordata; Mammalia; Carnivora; Canidae
Description: lncRNA (ENSCAFG00845024270.1)
Source: RNAcentral
UUUUUUUUUUUUUUUUCUUUCAGAUAAUUUACAAGAGAAUCUGAACUCUAAACAGAGACUUUGCAUUUAGUUCCCUAUAUGUAAACAGAUUUAAUGAUUAAUGUAAUUUAUAUGAUAAGCAAUCUCAUAUCAAUGAGGAGAGGAGACAUUAAUAAAUGGUCCUGAGACAAUUGGUUAGCCUAAAGGAAUUUGGGUAGGAUCUCUAAUUACACCAAAACAUAUUUUAUACUCAAGCCCAUUUUUCCAAAUGGCAUCAUGGAACUUAGCAUAUAUAUAUUUUAAAAAAGGAAAUUUGGCUUGGUCCCCAGGACUCAGGAACAUAGAUUAUUCUGUCACAUUUCUAAUGCAGUUUCCUAGCAUGUGGUUCUUGAUCGAGCCUCUCUAGUGCUCUAGACUUCAAGAAAACACACAAAUGUGAGCUGAAAAUGCUAUAAGCCCCAGGGCUGCACCACUGGGGGUCCUAGCAGCAUCUCAGUAGGUGCACUUGGCUAAGGUAGCACUGAGGGAAGGGCCUGGAUAAAUCAUCAAGGGCCAUCUUCCAGGGAUGUGACAGUAGCAAAACAGAUGUCAGGCCUGUCACAUGCACAGCUCAGCGUUAACUCCUCUCUGGUUUUGACCUCUGUGUGUGUGUAUGUGUGUGUGUGUGUGUGUGUGUGUGUGUGUUUAAAGAUGCAUUUAUUUAUUUUAGAGAGAGAGAAAGCAGGAGAGAGGAGCAGAGGGACAGCAUCCUCAAGCAGACUCCCUGCUGAGUGUAGAACCCAACUAGGGCUCAAUCUCAGGACCAUGAGCUCACGACCUGAGCCAAAACCAAGAGUCAGAUUCUCAACUGCCUCUGUCACAUAGGCGCCCCUGUUUUUGACCAGUGGUUUGGCAGUGAGUGAGUGACCACUGCUGUGACAUCAGGAGCAAAACAGUAGCCCUCAAAGAAACAUGGUAAGAAGCACAUUUGCUUGAGCCUGAAUGGAGAUCGAUUGUUGAAAGCUUUACAUCUGAGUGUGAAAAAUUCUGGCAGAAAUGGCAAGCUACCGGGCAGCCCUGGUGGCUCAGUGGUUUAGCACCGUCUUCAGCCCAGGGUGUGAUCCUGGAGACCCGGGAUCGAGCUCCCUGCAUGCGAGCCUGUUUCUCCCUCUGCCUGUCUCUGCCUCUCUCUCUCUGUGUCUCUCAUGAAUAAAUAAAAUCUUAAAAAAAAAAAAAAAGAAGAAAUGGCAGGCUACCUGGAGGGGGGUUGAUUCAUGCAUUAUUGUCAAGAAUUCCCAAAACAGUUCUAGACAGCCUCCUAAUUUGAUCAUUGUAAUUAGAUUUUGAAGGAAGUGUGAUUUUUAUUUUGACUUGCAAGACUGUGUAAUGAAUACAAGUCAAGUGUCAAGAGAUGGAGGUAGAUUUAAAUGUAAGCUCCACCUCUUGUUAACUAUGUGCUUCUAAGUUCUCUAAACUAAAAAUUAUUUAAAAGUUUGUUGAAAUGUCCAGCCAUUCUCCUCAUUGCUCUAAGAAUCAUUUAAAAAAUUCAGUGUUCUUUUUUUUCCCUCCUGCCAUUCAUUAGGGGAAACAGAAUUCCAAUGUGUCUUUUUUUUUUUUUUUUUUAAACAUAGGGAACCACAUAAUCCUGUUGAUGAUAGCACAAAGAACCGGCCAUCUCUGUACCUCUGAUACAACAUUUAGUUUUGUCCUUGUCCCACCAUGACUCCUCUCUCAUUCUCACCAGUCUUGUUGAGGUGAUAUUGCUUUGCAUCUUCCAGUGCCCACAGCAGUCCAGACCUGCCCUUGUCUCUAAUGCUUUGUCCUCACCCGUCUCCACCAGGCUAGUUAGUACCUGGUCCCCACACUGUCCUCACCAGAAACAUGUCAGUUUUGCCCAUUACUUGGAUUUUUGCUCCAGGCCUUGACACCAUAGAUCCUUCGCCACCUCAGCCUCUUGUCUUUCCUUUUGUCAUGAAAUUUAUUUCAUAGGGUGACAGUGGAUGUAUCGACUUCUCUUCAAAGAUAAACAUCAUCAUCAUUUAGUUCAAUGGCUAAAUCAUUAAACUUCGGUACAAAAACUUAGUUUUUCAGUCUUAUCCGUAGUUACCUUGUUAUAUUCAAUAAAUAACUUUCAUUUGCUUACUAAAUAUUAGGUAUGAUUCAAUGCGUUCAUAUACAUGAUGCCUCCCUAGCCUAUGAACAUCCUGCACAAUGACUGUUGUUCCCAUUUUAAAAGUGGGGGGACUGGGGCUCAGAGUUUCAGUAUCAUGCCUAAACAUCAGAGUGAGAAUUCAAACCAAGGUAAUUUUUACUUCAAAACCUAUGUCUUUCCACUUAAUAAAAUGCCUUUAUAUUGUUUAACUCAAGACUGUGAUAUAUUUUGGAUUUUUUUUAUAUCAAGUACUAUAAAAGCUUUAUUCAACUUUAGGAAUCAAUCAUUAGUUUUUUGUUUUACUGUCAGAGAUAGUGAACUGAAAUUAUAGCUAAGUUUAUGUGACCAAAUUACUUUAAGUGACCUUGGUGAUUAAAUGGAAAAAUAAAUAGUAAACAUUUAAGUCUGGUUGUAAGGAAACUUGAUUUUCUUUAGAUUACUUAAAUAGGAAAUUAAGAGAUCCUUUAUAAAAAGAGUUUUUAAGAGAAUUUUUGAAAUUUUAUCAGCAUUAAAUAAUCAGAAAAGUUUUCAAAUAUGACAGUAAUACCCAACUCAUGUAUCUCCCAUGUAUAUUAACAGAUUUUUCUUUCAGUGAUUUACAACUUAUCCUAAAUACUUGCUUAUGAAAUGUGUGUGCUUUCCUUUGAAAUGUGGAGAGAGGUUUCCACUACAUGUAUACCCUGAAUAAAUUUGAAAAAGAAUGGUUUGCAAUAUGUUUUGUGUUUUACAUUAAUCUUAUUAAGUUUUUUUACUUUAAUUCUAGUAUGGUUAGCAUAAAGUAUUAUAUUAGUUUCAGGUGUACAAUAUAGUGAUUCAACAAUUCUAUACAUUACUCAAGGCUCCUCAUGAUGAAUGUAUUCUUCAUCACCUUCACCUGUUUCACCCAUGCUCCAGUCAUUUUCCUUCAAAAUAAAUUGUACUUUAAAAAGUGCAUUUGGAGCACCCAAGUGGCUCAACUGGUCAAGAAUCCAACUCUUGAUUUUGGGCCAGGUGUUGAUCUGAGGGUUGUGAGAUCAAGUCUUGGUAGCUCAGACCUGGGCAUGGGGUCUGCUUACCAUUCUCUCUCUCCCUCUGAUCCCCCAACCCUGAACCUCACCUCAGCUCAAACAUGCUCAAAUCAAUCAAUUAAUCAAUCCUUCAGUUAAAGUUAUUUUUUUAAACAAGAACAUUUUUUACUUGAAGCAUACUUUAGAAUAUAUGGUUCUAAAAGAUAUACAUAAAACAUUCCAUCCAAGAAAAAUAGAAUAUACAUUUUCUUCAAGUAUACACAGAAGAAUCCCCUGGUUAAAUUGCAUAAAAAGAAACAUAACAAAUAUUUCAAAUUUAAGAACACUGAAAUCAUACCAAAUAUAUUUUCCAUUCAUAAUUAUGCAAAAUGAAAGAUAAAUACUAAAGCUGGAAAAUCUACAAUGCAAAUACUAAAUAUUUAAUAUGUAAAUAUUAACACACUAUUACAUAAGCAAUGGGCCAAAUAAAUCAAACAGCAAAUCAAAAUAUGUCUCAAAAGAAAAUUAAAAUAAUAUUCAAAAACCUAGGGGAUGCAGCAAAGCAGAUAUUAGAGUGAAAUUUAUGCUAUAAAUGCUCGCAUUAAGAAAAACUUCAAAUCAAUAACAUUACAGCACAAGGAACUA